This 432-nucleotide ribosomal RNA is filed under the name uncultured bacterium. Its description in RNAcentral is "partial 16S ribosomal RNA". It matches the Rfam family "Bacterial small subunit ribosomal RNA", at positions 29 to 507 of the family's 1533-position model. The record is from RNAcentral.
AACGAACGCUGGCGGCAUGCCUAACACAUGCAAGUCGAACGAUACCUUCGGGUCUAGUGGCGCACGGGUGCGUAACGCGUGGGAACCUGCCCUUAGGUUCGGAAUAACUCCCCGAAAGGGGUCCUAAUACCGGAUAAUGUCUUCGUACCAACGAUUUAUCGCCUUUGGAUGGGCCGGAGUUGGAUUCGCUGGUUGGUAGGGUAACAGCCUACCAAGGCGACGAUCCAUUGCUGGUCUGACAGGAGGAUCAGCAAUACGGGGACUGAGACACGGCCCGGACCCGUAGGGAAGACAGCAGUGGGGAAGAUGGGCCUAUGGGGGAAGGCCGGGUCAGGGAUGGCGGCGUGAGUGUUGAAGGCCUUGGGGUGGAAAGCUCUUUUACCCGGGAGGAUAAUGACAGUACCGAGAGAAUAAGCUCCGGCUAACUCCGUG